This 369-nucleotide ribosomal RNA is filed under the name Enterobacter hormaechei. RNAcentral's name for it is "partial 23S ribosomal RNA". It matches the Rfam family "Bacterial large subunit ribosomal RNA", at positions 2562 to 2925 of the family's 2925-position model. The record is from RNAcentral. Lineage: Bacteria; Pseudomonadati; Pseudomonadota; Gammaproteobacteria; Enterobacterales; Enterobacteriaceae.
GUCCCAAGGGUAUGGCUGUUCGCCAUUUAAAGUGGUACGCGAGCUGGGUUUAGAACGUCGUGAGACAGUUCGGUCCCUAUCUGCCGUGGGCGCUGGAGAAUUGAGGGGGGCUGCUCCUAGUACGAGAGGACCGGAGUGGACGCAUCACUGGUGUUCGGGUUGUCAUGCCAAUGGCACUGCCCGGUAGCUAAAUGCGGAAGAGAUAAGUGCUGAAAGCAUCUAAGCACGAAACUUGCCCCGAGAUGAGUUCUCCCUGAGACCUUGAGUCUCCUGAAGGAACGUUGAAGACGACGACGUUGAUAGGUCGGGUGUGUAAGCGCAGCGAUGCGUUGAGCUAACCGAUACUAAUGAACCGUGAGGCUUAACCUU